RNAcentral lists this ribosomal RNA (425 nucleotides) under uncultured bacterium. RNAcentral describes it as "partial 16S ribosomal RNA". It matches the Rfam family "Bacterial small subunit ribosomal RNA", at positions 354 to 796 of the family's 1533-position model. The record is from RNAcentral.
GUGGGGAAUCUUGCGCAAUGGGCGAAAGCCUGACGCAGCCAUGCCGCGUGAAUGAUGAAGGUCUUAGGAUUGUAAAAUUCUUUCACCGGGGACGAUAAUGACGGUACCCGGAGAAGAAGCUCCGGCUAACUUCGUGCCAGCAGCCGCGGUAAUACGAAGGGGGCUAGCGUUGCUCGGAAUUACUGGGCGUAAAGGGCGCGUAGGCGGACAGCUUAGUCAGAGGUGAAAGCCCAGGGCUCAACCUUGGAAAUGCCGUUGAUACUGGCUGUCUUGAGUUUGGGAGAGGUGAGUGGAACUCCGAGUGUAGAGGUGAAAUUCGUAGAUAUUCGGAAGAACACCAGUGGCGAAGGCGACUCACUGGCCCAAUACUGACGCUGAGGCGCGAAAGCGUGGGGAGCAAACAGGAUUAGAUACCCUUGUAGUCC